CCCGAUGUAUCUGAAACAAUAGACAUUGCACGACUGUCAUGAAUGUUCGUCUCA
This 54-nucleotide transfer RNA is filed under the name Zophoscolex zhongi. RNAcentral describes it as "partial tRNA-Ser". The record is from RNAcentral. Lineage: Eukaryota; Metazoa; Annelida; Clitellata; Crassiclitellata; Lumbricidae.